RNAcentral lists this ribosomal RNA (1331 nucleotides) under metagenome. RNAcentral's name for it is "SSU rRNA". It matches the Rfam family "Eukaryotic small subunit ribosomal RNA", at positions 52 to 1347 of the family's 1831-position model. The record is from RNAcentral.
UGCAUGUCUAAGUAUAAGCGAACUUAUACAGUGAAACUGCGGAUGGCUCAUUAAAACAGUUUGAAUUUAUUUGAUGAAUGUAUGAGAAUACUACUUGGAUAACCGUAGUAAUUCUAGAGCUAAUACAUGCAACGACGCCCGACCGUUUCACUACGGAAGGGCUGUAUUUAUUGGAUACCAAAACCAUCCUUCCCUCGGGAAGUUUUGUUUGAUGAUUCACAAUAACUGAUCGGGUCGCCACUGUGGUGGCGACAGGUCAUUCAACAUUCUGCCCUAUCAGCUUUCGAUGGUUGUGUAGUGGACAACCAUGGCCAUAACGGGUAACGGAGAAUCAGGGUUCGAUUCCGGAGAAGGAGCUUGAGAAUUGGCUACUACAUCUAAGGAAGGCAGCAGGCGCGCAAAUUACCCAAUCCCGAUUCGGGGAGGUAGUGACAAAAAAUAACAAUACCGGGCCCUUUUUGGGCCUGGUAAUUGGAAUGAGGGAGAGUUAAACGGACCAUCGAGUAUCCAUAGGAGGGCAAGUCUGGUGCCAGCAGCUGCGGUAAUACCAGCUCCAAUAGCGUAUAUUAAAGUUGUUGCAGUUAAAAAGCUCGUAGUUGGACUUGUGUGCGCUGUCCGCGGGUGGCCUGCGCCCAAAAGGGCGUUUCGGUUCGGCCCCGGUGGCGCCUUGAAAUCUGCAGCUGGGGGGACGUUGGCCUUAACUGGUCGGCGACCGCACGCCGGCUGCUCGGUUACUGUGAGAAAAUUAGAGUGUUCAAGGCAGGCAUUGGGUGCAAUUGAAUACAUUAGCAUGGAAUAAUAAAAUAUGGCUCCUGCCGUAUUUUGUUGGUUUUGACUGGUGGGAGUAAUGAUUGAUAGGGACGGUUGGGGGUGCUAGUAUUGAGCGGCCAGAGGUGAAAUUCAUGGAUUCGCUCAAGACUAACUUAUGCGAAAGCAUUCACCAAGGACGUCCUCUUUAAUCAAGAACGAAAGUUGGGGGAUCGAAGACGAUCAGAUACCGUCGUAGUCUCAACCAUAAACUAUGUCGACUUGGGAUCGGCGGUAGUUUUUUCAUUAAGACACUGUCGGGACCACGGGAGAAAUCAAAGUGUCUGGACUCUGGGGGAAGUAUGGUCGCAAGGCUGAAACUUGAAGGAAUUGACGGAAGGGCACCACCAGGAGUGGAGCCUGCGGCUUAAUUUGACCCAACACGGGGAAACUUACCAGGUCCAGAGAUGUAGAGGAUUGACAGAUUGAAGCUCUUUCUUGAUCACUUCGGUGGUGGUGCAUGGCCGUUCUUAGUUGGUGGAGUGAUCUGUCUGGUUAAUUCCGUUAACGAACGAGACCUCAGC